UACGGAAGGUGCGAGCGUUAAUCGGAAUUACUGGGCGUAAAGCGCACGUAGGUGGUUUUAUAAGUCGGAUGUGAAAGCCCUGGGCUUAACCUAGGAAUUGCAGUCGAUACUACUCAGCUAGAGUAUGGGAGAGGGCAGUGGAAUUCCUGGUGUAGCGGUGGAAUGCGCAGAUAUCAGGAGGAACACCGGUGGCGAAGGCGGGUCUCUGGGCAGUAACUGACGCUGAGGAGCGAAAGCGUGGGGAGCGAACAGG
Molecule: ribosomal RNA, 253 nt
Filed under: uncultured bacterium
Lineage: Bacteria
Description: partial 16S ribosomal RNA
Rfam family: Bacterial small subunit ribosomal RNA
Source: RNAcentral